Molecule: ribosomal RNA, 498 nt
Filed under: Marinobacter sp. M1H-106
Lineage: Bacteria; Pseudomonadati; Pseudomonadota; Gammaproteobacteria; Pseudomonadales; Marinobacteraceae
Description: bacterial SSU rRNA
Rfam family: Bacterial small subunit ribosomal RNA
Source: RNAcentral
UUUAGAGUUUGAUCCUGGCUCAGAUUGAACGCUGGCGGCAGGCUUAACACAUGCAAGUCGAGCGGUAACAGGGGUAGCUUGCUACCCGCUGACGAGCGGCGGACGGGUGAGUAAUGCUUAGGAAUCUGCCCAGUAGUGGGGGACAACAAUCGGAAACGGUUGCUAAUACCGCAUACGCCCUACGGGGGAAAGCAGGGGAUCUUCGGACCUUGCGCUAUUGGAUGAGCCUAAGUCGGAUUAGCUAGUUGGUAGGGUAAAGGCCUACCAAGGCGACGAUCCGUAGCUGGUCUGAGAGGAUGAUCAGCCACAUCGGGACUGAGACACGGCCCGAACUCCUACGGGAGGCAGCAGUGGGGAAUAUUGGACAAUGGGGGCAACCCUGAUCCAGCCAUGCCGCGUGUGUGAAGAAGGCUUUCGGGUUGUAAAGCACUUUCAGCGAGGAGGAAGGCUCUAAAGCUAAUACCUUUAGGGAUGACGUACUCGCAGAAGAGCACCGCA